GGGCCUCGAGCUCAUCUGGCAGAGCAGCGGACUCUUCAUCCGCGGGUUGUGGGUUCGAUCCCCACGGGGCCCA
RNAcentral lists this transfer RNA (73 nucleotides) under Cellulomonas avistercoris. RNAcentral's name for it is "Cellulomonas sp. Sa3CUA2 tRNA-Lys". It matches the Rfam family "tRNA". Rfam says of the family: Transfer RNA (tRNA) molecules are approximately 80 nucleotides in length. Their secondary structure includes four short double-helical elements and three loops (D, anti-codon, and T loops). The record is from RNAcentral. Lineage: Bacteria; Bacillati; Actinomycetota; Actinomycetes; Micrococcales; Cellulomonadaceae.